This is a long non-coding RNA of Oncorhynchus tshawytscha (Chinook salmon), 1101 nucleotides long. NCBI's taxonomy places the organism in Eukaryota, Metazoa, Chordata, Actinopteri, Salmoniformes, Salmonidae. The record is from Ensembl.
UGGAUAGGUAUUUCACCUAUCAGCUAACCAACCACAUAUUGUUAUAGCCUGGUGAGGAGGAGGAGCUCUGCAGAACGUGUCCUGAAGUAGUUUAGCCGUGCUCUGUAGAGUUGCUAUUUUCUCAAUGAACUUGUGACAUUCCUGGAUUACUCAUUAUAUUAAUGAAGUCUGAUUCAAAUCAACAAAUACGAUCAUUUGUUUUAUUAAAUUAAAAAAGGUUAUGGGUCCAAGACUGUACAUAUCUGGUGGCUGUGUUGGCAAAAAUCACUACAUAUCCCAUCGUGCCAAGUAGGGAGAUGCUGCCCGUUGUCACAGUUCCAAGACCAGUCAGAAACGUCCAGCUAAACCCCUACGUCAAUUACGUCGGUGGAUCUUUAAACUGAUCUUAGGUCUGUGUUAAGUAGCAAAAAAACAACAACAGAUGGCUCGAACCAGUCAUGACGAUUCAACAAAACAAUAAAUCCUUUUCAACUUUCUUUGUCUCUGAACUUACAAUAAAUAGCCCCAAGUCAUUAUAUAUUUAAUUUGGCUAUUUGCCUCAUGACUCCUGCAUACUUUGUUGACUACAAACUUUCUUUACCCAAUUGUGGGACAGGCUGUUUGUUCCCACACUCAGGACUCGGACUCUCUAUUGGUUACACAGACUUUUGGCCUCCCAUCCUAUUCUAACCACCUCUCGCCAGUUUCGGUAUUCAUGUUACCUGAUGAAAUUGCUGUACAAUAUGAUCUUGUUGCCAUCUGAUGCACAUUCAGAUGUCAUAAAUCAGCGCUGCAGAGCUCUCCCUGUCCUCUGCCGUGCCUUGAUUGUAUUACUGCUGAUGAUAUCUGGAAAUGUGCAUGUACAGCCUGGCCCUCUACUGUUGAUGAUAUCUGGAAAUGUGCAUGUACAGCCUGGCCCCUCUACUGUUGCUAGACACAAUUGGGCUCUGAUACCUGCUUCACUGAUUUCUGCUCUCGUAAAAGCCCGGGUUAUCUGCACGUUAACACUAGAAGCCUAUUACCUACAAUGGAUAAAUUGAAAGUGUGGGUUCACAGCUCCAAACCAGAUGUGUUGGUCAUUACUGAGAUUUGGUUAAGGAGUGUUUUGAAUACUGAUGUUAA